UUGAGAUAAAAUUGCCUGGAAAGCAGUGAUUUGCCCAAAUUUCUGUGGCUGCACCACGGCGGCUCCUCAGAUUGCGCAGGGUGACACAUGGCUAUGAGCUCACUGAAACUCUGCUGACUAACCUCGACUGGAGACCCAGCAGGAUCACUGUGUCAGGUCACUGAAUAUGUGGGGCUUGAAGCAUAUGGGAAAUAAAAGGUAAUGGCACUUUCUCAACAGUAAACAAGCCCUGUUUGUUUGGUUCCUGAGGAUGGUUCCUGAGUCAAAAGUCUUCUUUGGAAGAAAAGGUGAAGAUCCCACUCAGAAGUUUGUGAAGCAGAUUGGCUUCAAGAUGAAACUGCUCAUGUUCUGCACCUGCUGACAGAAAUACACCUAAGCAAUUAUUUCAAAUGUCUCCAGUCACCUUAAUUUCUGUAGAUGAAAGCAAGCUUCUCCAAUGUUCCUAGCUUUAAGAGCAAUUAGCUGAUUUUUUCUUUUUGGUCAAAGAGCUAUACUUAUUUCUUGAGGCUGGACGUCAGUAAUGAGGUGUGAGGAUGAAAUAUGCUCUUACUUCUAUCUCAGCGAAGGAAGGAUCCUGCCUACUGUUGGCUUUCAGCUUGCCCACUGCCUCACUGAAGUCCAUCCUACCUGGUGCUUCUCACAUCAUCUACCUCCUUGAAUCGUGAAGAUGGGUCGUCUUUUGUACUACUGCUCUGUGGAUGAAGCCUGUUCUCUCCCGGUGAGGCUAUUAAAGACAAAGUGAGAAUUAAUAUCUGGGAACAGUAUAUUCUGGACUCAUAUAAGGCACAUAGAUGCACAGGUAGAUGGAUUGGCUCUCCAGUGGAUGUCUCGUCUUGGAAACACUUGGCAUUUCAACUAGUAUUUCCCAGUUUCCUACAUGUAUUCUAUUUGCCAGACAUACCCCAGCUAGAGAAUGGUUUGCUGUAGGCCCCUCAAGCUCUGAGGAAAUGGAUUUCCACUCUUUGUGGACUUCUAGGCUUGUGUCUGCAUGAGAUAAGCCGCACUGUGCAUCACUGUCUUCACCUUCACAUCUGGGCUUGUUACACCUUCACCUCCCUCUGUUCCUAGCCCUAAGGCACAUGUUCUCUCAUAUCCACAUACAUUCUGUUACAUCUCAUUCUUUGUCUGAGUAGAAGCCGUGUUUGGAAGAUGGGAAACGAAGGGCUGGAUUAAAUUCUGUAGAUAUGCACGGGGGAGGCACUCUUCAUGCAGAUUUUUUCCCCUUCCUGCAUCCAGCCAGCGGUUGUAGGAGGCAGCUGCCUUGAUGUUUCCCAUUUUUCUUUUGUGGAAACCAGGCUGGGCUUUGUGCAGGUCUGUGUUUCUACAUCACCUCUUGUAUGCAAUACCACACUCAGUUUCAGCUGAUAGAAAGGCCAGCAGAUUCUGUCUACUACAGCAACAUAGAUUCAGGGACUCAGCAACAGGACACCACAAAGCAGCUUGGAUGGACUUUCAUUUGGGUACUGCAAAAUCAGCAUCGCUGGAAGAGGUGGGAGGGCCUGUGGAUCUAAAACUUCUCUGUCUUCCCUCAGGGGAUGCUGUGGUAAGAAUUUGCUGCUCUCAGGAAGAAUUUGAGGGAAUCUGUACAAGCCCUCUGUUUGGAAAAGGACACGAAACCCUUCAAAUGUAACGAAUGCCUGUCGGUAUUUUCACACAAAGACGUUUCUAGAAGUGCUACCAUUUAGUUAGGAAACCUCUUUCAUAUCUAUAAUAUGGAAAGGUUUAGAGUCAAGAACUGAAUGUUCACAAUUUGGACCUUGGAUGUGUUGAUUAAAACUUAUUUCAAUGUAAAAGAUCCCCACAAGGACCUGCCCUCAAGGAUUGUGUUUUUUCAAGGCUUGAUUUAAAGAUCACCUAAACCUGUCUUUGCACAUGGGCAAUGCAUCCAGUCCUAGUGAAGCAUAUAGAUCAGAUUUCUGUGUGGAGCCGGACAAUCUUGGGCUUAUCUGUAGGGUGCAUUGAGAGAGAAAUUAUUCUUAGAGGAGAAUUCUGCUCCUCGCUUUACACAGUUCUGCACUGACAAAGUAUAUAGAGCUUUCCUCUCAUGAAUCAGCUGCUCUAUAUUGCAACAGCUUUUACUUACUCUGGUUUCUGUGCUGAAACCUGGGGCCCAGUUGUGUGAUACAAGGUGGUUGGGAACACAUAGAACAAAAUUUUCCUCAUUUCUCUUUCAAGUAAGUCAGGUCUUUGGAGAUAUGGUGUUGACUGAUUAUGCCACAUUACAUUCACCAUCCUGCUGAAGUCCAUAGGAGUACCCACACAAGGCAGGGAAUGUAGGGCUGAGCCUUUGAUUCCUGUAGCAUUCUUCUUGAACCAAAGCAAAACAUGACUCUGCGUUUGGAUUAUGUUCACUUGCAGCUGAGAGAUGAUUGUUUGCCUUUUAGAUUCCAUUUACAUGACUGUCUUCUCAUAACUGAUAUAUGAUAAUUUACACUACAUGCUUCCAGGACUAUGUCAUGUGAAAAGUAAUACUUAGAUGGCCAAAUAUCUGACAGAGCGAGUAUACGGCUGUCACACACACACAUGCUUGGAAGUCUAAGGAAUCGCAUCUCCCAAGUCGCUCAUAUCUUUCCUCUCCCCUGUUUGUGUUGGUUUCCUUUCAGUAAAUACAACUGCAGAUCUUUGGCCUGUGCCACAUGUCAAGUAAGGAUAAGAACCCCUCUACAUGGAAGUCAGUUUUCAAACACGAAUGGAGCAGAUGGGUAAAUCUCAAGUUUCCGUACACAAUCUAUAUCUUUAAGAUGCUGGUUUGUGCAGGUGUCUGUGGAAGGGGAAGCUUGUGCAUUCAAGGACCCAUUUAUGACAAUUAAACAAUUUGUGUGUGUAAGACAAAACACAUUUAUAACACACACUUUGGCAUCACACACUUAGCCAGAGGAAUUGAUGGAAUGAAUAUUGAAUGCCCCAUCUAAGGAUAAAAAUACAGAACUGCCUGAAGUCACUAAAAAAGGAGGAGAGAGCAGAGGACUUCUCUAUUUUUUUUUCCCUUAAAAUAUUUCGCUGGACUCUGAGUAUCUUAUUCUGUGCACUGUCUUGUUUAAAUCCAGUGUGGUGACAGGAAAGCUUGAAGGUUCUUUUUCUUUGUCUUACUUAGAAAUUGCUGGGGAAAUUGUAAGUAGCUGGAGUUUAGAUUUGGAAGUAUUUAACUGCUUCAUUUCCAUCUGAAUUAACAUAUA
Long non-coding RNA from Colius striatus (speckled mousebird), 3176 nucleotides. RefSeq lists it as uncharacterized. The record is from RefSeq and is a predicted model, not a curated record. The transcript is spliced from 3 exons. NCBI's taxonomy places the organism in Eukaryota, Metazoa, Chordata, Aves, Coliiformes, Coliidae.